AGAGUUUGAUCAUGGCUCAGAACGAACGCUGGCGGCAUGCCUAACACAUGCAAGUCGAACGAACCCUUCGGGGUUAGUGGCGCACGGGUGUGUAACGCGUGGGAAUCUGCCCUUUGCUUCGGAAUAACAGUUAGAAAUGACUGCUAAUACCGGAUAACGUCGCAAGACCAAAGAUUUAUCGGCAAAGGAUGAGCCCGCGUAGGAUUAGCUUGUUGGUGAGGUAAAGGCUCACCAAGGCGACGAUCUUUAGCUGGUCUGAGAGGAUGAUCAGCCACACUGGGACUGAGACACGGCCCAGACUCCUACGGGAGGCAGCAGUGGGGAAUAUUGGACAAUGGGCGAAAGCCUGAUCCAGCAAUGCCGCGUGAGUGAUGAAGGCCUUAGGGUUGUAAAGCUCUUUUACCAGGGAUGAUAAUGACAGUACCUGAGAAUAGUCC
Molecule: ribosomal RNA, 437 nt
Filed under: uncultured Novosphingobium sp.
Lineage: Bacteria; Pseudomonadati; Pseudomonadota; Alphaproteobacteria; Sphingomonadales; Sphingomonadaceae
Description: bacterial SSU rRNA
Rfam family: Bacterial small subunit ribosomal RNA
Source: RNAcentral